RNAcentral lists this ribosomal RNA (497 nucleotides) under uncultured bacterium. RNAcentral describes it as "bacterial SSU rRNA". It matches the Rfam family "Bacterial small subunit ribosomal RNA", at positions 21 to 507 of the family's 1533-position model. The record is from RNAcentral.
GGCUCAGAUUGAACGCUGGCGGCAUGCCUAACACAUGCAAGUCGAACGGCAGCACGGGAGCUUGCCCCUGGUGGCGAGUGGCGGACGGGUGAGUAAUGCAUAGGAAUCUGCCCAGUAGGCGGGGGACAACGUUGGGGAAACUCAAGCUAAUACCGCAUACGCCCGUACGGGGAAAGGCGGGGACCUUCGGGCCUCGCACUAUUGGAUGAGCCUAUGUCAGAUUAGCUUGUUGGUGGGGUAAAGGCCUACCAAGGCGACGAUCUGUAGCUGGUCUGAGAGGACGAUCAGCCACACUGGGACUGACACACGGCCCAGACUCCUACGGGAGGCAGCAGGUGGGGAAUCUUGCGCAAUGGGGGAAACCCUGACGCAGCAACGCCGCGUGGGUGAUGAAGGCCCUUGGGUCGUAAAGCCCUGUCUGGAGGAAAGAAUCCCGCUCUCGCUAAUACCGGGAGUGGAUGACGGUACCUCUGAAGGAAGCACCGGCUAACUCCGUG